AGUGAACGCUGGCGGUAGGCCUAACACAUGCAAGUCGAACGGCAGCACAGUAAGAGCUUGCUCUUACGGGUGGCGAGUGGCGGACGGGUGAGGAAUACAUCGGAAUCUACUUUUUCGUGGGGGAUAACGUAGGGAAACUUACGCUAAUACCGCAUACGACCUACGGGUGAAAGCAGGGGAUCUUCGGACCUUGCGCGAUUGAAUGAGCCGAUGUCGGAUUAGCUAGUUGGCGGGGUAAAGGCCCACCAAGGCGACGAUCCGUAGCUGGUCUGAGAGGAUGAUCAGCCACAAUGGAACUGAGACACGGUCCAGAAUCCUACGGGAGGCAGCAGUGGGGAAUAUUGGACAAUGGGCGAAAGCCUGAUACAGCCAUACCGCGUGGGUGAAGAAGGCCUUCGGGUUGUAAAGCCCUUUUGUUGGGAAAGAAAAGCAGCAGGUUAAUACCCCGCUGUUCUGACGGUACCCAAAGAAUAAACACCGGCUAACUUCGU
This 491-nucleotide ribosomal RNA is filed under the name uncultured bacterium. RNAcentral describes it as "partial 16S ribosomal RNA". It matches the Rfam family "Bacterial small subunit ribosomal RNA", at positions 29 to 506 of the family's 1533-position model. The record is from RNAcentral.